GCAACUUUUUACACAAUCUAUACUCCAAUUAUAAACUUUGUAUGCCUUUAUUUAUUAAAUUAACUGAAUGAAAUUAGCUCACAUGGUUGACUGUAAAAAAAAAAAGUUGUUAUUUUAUUUUUAAAUUGUAACGUUUAUCUGAAUGACGUCAUCAAAACUGAUGCUGUGUGUGACGUUUAUGCGUAUAAAAGUGGCAGGUACUUGAUAUUACUGGAAACGUUUUGCAGUAAAACCAUUGAGUUUUUACCGAUUUUUACAAUGUGAAGUGUUACAGAUCGAAAAUCAUUCGAUAAUUUGUUUAAUAGUUUGUUGUUUAUUAAUUUAUUCAAUAAAACUGUUAGUUUAAAUUUAGAAGGUUAGCUCUGCAAAUAUAGUCGGUAUAUAGAAUCCGGGAAUAUCUCUUUUUAAAUGCACUAUUUUACCCCUCAUAUUUCUUGAGAAAUUUAGCCAUCUGGGGUUGGCUUAAACAUGGGUUGACUUCACUAGUUUUAAAAACAACAAAUAUUUAAGUUAUAACUUAUAAUGAAUAAUUUUGACAAUGCCGGUCUUCUAAAAUAAUUUCUGCGAAAACCAAAUAAACUUGACCCGGAUUUUUGUAUUUAUCAUUCUAAUACUUAAUUAUGGCAUACAAUCUGCAUACUCCGCCUUAUGUGUCCAUGUGUCUCACUUUGUUGUCAAUUCAAUAUUAGAAUACAUAUUCAAUUUUGAGUUAAGAUCGUGUUUUGAUUUACCCAUCACUUACUGCGUAUUUUUGGAUUUAUUUUUGUCCUUUGUUACUGUGUUUUGUUUUUUUUUUUUUUUUUUGGUGCUUGGUCCAAUUUUGACAAGUCAAGCUCUUUUUAAAAGUUUUUUUUCUAUCUGUUCUAAUAUUAAACUGGUACCCGACAUGUCAUGAUCAUCUCAUUUUAAAUGUUUCACAUUGAAUUAUAUAGUGACCAAUCGUGCACACAAAAAGAGAGGUAAAAGAUACCAAAGAG
This 977-nucleotide long non-coding RNA is filed under the name Mytilus galloprovincialis (Mediterranean mussel). The record is from RNAcentral. Lineage: Eukaryota; Metazoa; Mollusca; Bivalvia; Mytilida; Mytilidae.